CUACUGGAAACGGUAGCUAAUACCGCAUAACGUCGCAAGACCAAAGAGGGGGACCUUAGGGCCUCUUGCCAUCGGAUGUGCCCAGAUGGGAUUAGCUUGUUGGUGAGGUAACGGCUCACCAAGGCGACGAUCCCUAGCUGGUCUGAGAGGAUGACCAGCCACACUGGAACUGAGACACGGUCCAGACUCCUACGGGAGGCAGCAGUGGGGAAUAUUGCACAAUGGGCGCAAGCCUGAUGCAGCC
This 244-nucleotide ribosomal RNA is filed under the name Escherichia albertii. Its description in RNAcentral is "partial 16S ribosomal RNA". It matches the Rfam family "Bacterial small subunit ribosomal RNA", at positions 147 to 392 of the family's 1533-position model. The record is from RNAcentral. Lineage: Bacteria; Pseudomonadati; Pseudomonadota; Gammaproteobacteria; Enterobacterales; Enterobacteriaceae.